AGAGAGUUAUCUCGCGCCCCUUAGUAUACUCUACUUACCUACCUGUGUCGGUUUAAGGUACAGGUAUUUACUAUUUAAGAUAUAUCGAGCUUUUCUAGGAAACAUGACAUUGAUCACUUUAGUAUGUUAAUACUUUGUACUCACUUUUUAGCUCAGAGUAUUUUCUCUACUCUUCUUCACCUCAAUAGUUUAAACCGGUAACCAACAUCCGGCUGAUCUAGCCUUUUUCGUCCCUCGUUACCAAUAGUAAAUAGUACGGGAAUAUUAACCCGUUAUCCAUCGACUAUGUUUUUCAACCUCGCCUUAGGACCUGACUCACCCUUUGUGGACGAACCUUGCAAAGGAACCCUUAGGUUUUCGGGGCAUUGGAUUCUCACCAAUGUUUUCGCUACUCAAGCCAACAUUCUCACUUCUGUUUUGUCCACAUCCGCUCACGCUAAUGCUUCGACCUAAUACAGAACGCUCCCCUACCGAUAAAACAUCCCACAGCUUCGGCAACUUACUUAGUCCCAUUCAUUUUCGGCGCAAGAUCACUUGAUCAGUGAGCUAUUACGCACUCUUUAAAGGAUUGCUGCUUCUAAGCAAACCUCCUGAUUGUCUAUGCAUUCUCACUUCCUUUGCCACUUAGUAAAUAUUUAAGGGCCUUAACUGGUGGUCUGGGCUGUUUCCCUUUUGACAAUGGAGCUUAUCCCCCACUGUCUCACUGAUUAAUAAUUCACUUUAGUAUUCAGAGUUUGCCUUGAUUUGGUACUAUUUUCAUAGCCCGCAUCAAAACAGUGCUUUACCCCUAAAACUUAACAUUAAUCGCUGCGCCUCAACGCAUUUCGGGGAGAACCAGCUAGCUCCGGAUUCGAUUAGCAUUUCACCACUAAUCACAACUCAUCCGCUGAUUUUUCAACAUCAGUCGGUUCGGACCUCCACGUAGUGUUACCUAAGCUUCACCCUGGUCAUGACUAGAUCAUCCGGCUUCGGGUCUAUAAAUAGUGACUAACGCUCUAUUCAAGCUCGCUUUCACUAUGGCUUCGAUAUACUUUAUCUUAACCUGCCACUACUUAUAAGUCGCUGGCUCAUUCUUCAACAUGCACGAAGUUAAACGUUAAGUCGUUUAACUACUGUUUGUAAACUUAUAGUUUCAUGUUCUAUUUCACUCCCCUCCCGGGGUUCUUUUCACCUUUCCCUCACGGUAUAAACCGACACAGGUAGGUAAGUAGAGUAUACUAAGGGGCGCGAGAUAACUCUCUCUAAGGAACUCGGCAAAAUAGCUCCGUAACUUAGGAAGAAGGAGUACCCUUGUAGGGUUGCAAUAAUCAGGCCCAAGCGACUGUUUAUCAAAAACAUAGGUCUCCGCUAAGUUGUAAAACAAUGUAUGGGGGCUGACGCCUGCCCAGUGCCGGAAGGUUAAAGAAGUCGGUUAGUUAUAUUACAAAGCUGGCAACUGAAGCCCCGGUGAACGGCGGCCGUAACUAUAACGGUCCUAAGGUAGCGAAAUUCCUUGUCGGGUAAGUUCCGACCCGCACGAAAGGCGUAACGAUUUGGGCACUGUCUCAGAGAGAGACUCGGCGAAAUAGACUUGUCUGUGAAGAUGCGGACUACCUGCACCUGGACAGAAAGACCCUAUGAAGCUUUACUGUAGCUUGAAAUUGGAUUUUGGCUUGAUUUGCGCAGAAUAGGUGGGAGGCUAUGAAAAUGACUUUGCGGAGUUAUUAGAGCCAUUAGUGAGAUACCACUCUAAUUAAGUUGAAAUUCUAACUUUGAACCGUUAUCCGGUCAAAGAACAGUUUCAGGUAGGCAGUUUGACUGGGGCGGUCGCCUCCUAAAAAGUAACGGAGGCGUGCAAAGGUUUCUUCAGGCUGGUUGGAAAUCAGUCGUAGAGUGUAAAGGCAAAAAGAAGCUUGACUGCGAGACUUACAAGUCGAGCAGAGACGAAAGUCGGCCUUAAUGAUCCGACAGUACUGAGUGGAAAGGCUGUCGCUCAACGGAUAAAAGUUACUCUAGGGAUAACAGGCUGAUCUCCCCCAAGAGUUCACAUCGACGGGGAGGUUUGGCACCUCGAUGUCGGCUCAUCGCAUCCUGGGGCGGUAGCACGUCCCAAGGGUUGGGCUGUUCGCCCAUGAAAGCGGUACGCGAGCUGGGUUCAGAACGUCGUGAGACAGUUCGGUCCAUAUCCGGUGCAGGCGCAAGAGUAUUGCGAGGAUUUCUCCUUAGUACGAGAGGACCGGGAGAAACGUACCUCUGGUGUACCAGUUAUUGUGCCAACAGUAAACGCUGGGUAGCUAAGUACGGUCAAGAUAACCGCUGAAAGCAUCUAAGUGGGAAGCUUACCUCAAGAUUAGUACUCUUACCAUUUAAAAUGGUUAAGGUCACGGCAAGAUUAGCCGUUAUAUAGGCGUCAAGUGUAAGUAUAGUAAUAUAUUCAGCUAAGAUGUACUAAUAGACCGAGGACUUAAU
Molecule: ribosomal RNA, 2448 nt
Filed under: Thorea hispida
Lineage: Eukaryota; Rhodophyta; Florideophyceae; Thoreales; Thoreaceae
Description: 23S ribosomal RNA
Rfam family: Bacterial large subunit ribosomal RNA (bases 1053-2448)
Source: RNAcentral